Molecule: long non-coding RNA, 609 nt
Organism: Rhincodon typus (whale shark)
Lineage: Eukaryota; Metazoa; Chordata; Chondrichthyes; Orectolobiformes; Rhincodontidae
Exons: 3
Source: RefSeq, a predicted model, not a curated record
CACACUCCCACACACAGAUACACAAACUCACUCACUGUCUCUCUCUCUCUCACACGCACACAGCCACAAUCUCAUACUCUCUCUCUCUCUCUCACUCACUGACUGUGUCUGUCUUUCACACACACCCCCACUCACUCACUGACUCUCUUUCUGUAAGCCCCAUCUUGCUCUCACUCUCUCAUACACACACACACAAACACACACACAUCACCUUGCCAUCCUUGACUGGCCUCUCCUGUGCUAAUCUCUCUCUCUCUCCCUGUCAGUCCUCCACGCCGCCACCCAACCAGCCCAGCCCCUGGAACAAUGGUGAAAAUUCCCAGACCCCCGGCAAUCACCUGGAGAUACAACAGCAGAACAGGAAGAGCUGGGAUACCUCACAGAGCUCCUCCUCCAGGAUGCAGAGGUCGACAUCUUCGGACUCCCUGGGCCUACGCUCACAGGGAACCAAUGGCCAACAGGUCUGGAGGAGGCAGGUCACUGUCAACUGGACCGGCCUAGACAAGUCCACGGUGUCCCGCGAGAACACUGGGCAGCAGGUGAAAGAUUGGAGGAGUCAGUCACAGCGUUCCUGCACCAUGAGUGACAGCCCAUCUGUGUCCUUACCUG